AUUACCUCAUGGCCUUUGGCUAAGAUCAAGUGUAGUAUUUGUUCUUAUCAGCUUAAUAGCUAGGGAAUUGUCUUUUAAAAAUCCUAUUUUUGAGUGUUUAGGUUGUAUAGGAGAGUUGAAAGAGAUACUCUGUUUACUAACUAGCUAAAGACCUACUAAGGACCCACAAAGUAAGCCCUAGAGCCUAA
This is a small nuclear RNA of Mustela erminea (ermine), 188 nucleotides long. RefSeq annotates it as U2 spliceosomal RNA. Lineage: Eukaryota; Metazoa; Chordata; Mammalia; Carnivora; Mustelidae. The record is from RefSeq and is a predicted model, not a curated record. The transcript has a single exon.